CUACAAUUAGGUGGUCAUUUUUUGAUUUUCCCAGUAGUUUUCAAUUAACUACUAUGAAAAACCAAACAAAUGUAAGUUUUUUAAAGUUAUUUUUUAGAGGAACUUUUACCGAACUGAUUGCCAUACCUAAUUGAUAAUAUCAAAUAAUAAGCAUAAUAUACAAAUAUAAUACUGGGUGCACUCCGAGAAGACACAGAAACAAACCAAAAACAAAUUCUACUUUUUUAGUUUGAAAAAAACUGAACAAAUAAAACAUACCUAUCUGUCUAUACUGAGAUGAUUAAAAAUUAAAAACAAUAUUUUAACAAAAUUCGAAUAUUUUUUCUUCUCUUAUCUACACACACUAAACGAGUUAGUUUUGAAAUAUUUUAAAACUCAUUUUCAAUGAUCAGAUAUUUAUUCAUUCACUGAAGUUCGAACAAUUCAAAUAAAUAAAAAUAUGAACAAAAAUUACAAUGUGAAAAAUAAGAAAAAAUUUUGAAGACUACAAAGAUUUAUUUAUGCUAGGUGCUGGGUACAUUAUUUUGCAACAAAAAAAAAAAAAAAAUAAAUAAAAGAUGUUAUAGGGUAAGGUGAUCUUUGCUAAUAAGGAAUGUACAAAGAGAAGAUAAACUUUUAAUAAACUUAUAAGAUAAUGAUGUUGGUUUAAAUGGAGAACUUUGAUCUAGUUUUAAAAUUUUUCUAAGAGAAUCCCGAAACGCUAUCUUACCUGUUGGUUAUUUUUAAAACACUGUCUUUAAACGUUCAGCAUUGUUUGCCAAAACAAAAACGUUCUGAUUUUUACUGACACUGCUCAGGACAUGACUUUGUUUUUAAAAAUUCGAACAACUUGUUGAAAAAAACACAAUUUUUUUAAAAAUUUUGUCACAAAAACACAGACUUUCUGUUUUGUUUUAAUUUUGUCAUCUUAGUGUGAACCCAGCAUAACAGUAACCAGUUACCGUAAAAACGGACAAAUUCUUAUUCAUGGAAUUUUUUUAAAUUUGUAAACCUGUUCUUAAUAAAACAUUUGCCCUUCUAAUUUAUUCUUACACUAAUAAAUUAGUGUGAUUAGAAGUUAAGUUAUUUUCAGUGGACAUACUAUUUUAUUUUUAUGUCUAGUGGGGAUGGUAAUAUCUACCGAUUUUCAUUAAAUGUCUUAUUUUUGUCACAAUUAUCAUAAUCUUAAUGUAAAAACUUAGAUUAAAUAAAUUACUUAUUGUUUAUAGUAGUCAGUAGGUAAGUAAUGUAGUACCUAUGAUAAACAUUUCCACAGUCUUAAACAAUGAAAAUUGUUUUCCAAAAAGUAUUAAAACCAUUAAUAAAAAUUAAAUAAUUUUGCAUUGAUGAAAUAUUUAAUUACAUGUUGCCACUUAGUUACUUUUCCAAUUAAAUGUCACUUUUUUUAUUUUGAAUUUGUCGUAUAUUUUUUCAAACUAUUUAUAUUAAUUUUUUCCAAGUAUUUUGAGAUUAAUUGUAAUUCAAGGAGUGAUUUAUUUUUUUUUUGCAUUUUUUUUUUCAAAGACUGAAAUAAAUUAUAUUGUAGUUGUCUAAGUUAACAGAUAUAUUUAAUCUUAAUUGUAACAUUAUUAUAAACACUGGUUGGUCAACCGAAUGUAAUCUGUAAUCUUUUUAGGUAUUUUUCACUAUAAUAAAUAUAUUUUGUUAACAUAUGUUACCAAGAAUUAAUAAUAAGUUUCUAUAGAAAUUUGCAUUUUUUAAUCCAUUUAUCUAUAUUUUCAAGUUAAAUAAUAAUUAGUAAUAAAUACUUCAUUUGAAAAUGAAAUAUAAAAUAAAAAUACAUGUACUUAAAAAAAAUAAAUACAUUUUUAGUAUAAAAGUUUUUAUACACAAAAGUAAAAAUGUAUUAUAAAAAAAAAACACAAAUAUAUUUUCAUUUAAUUUAAAGAGCUUUGGGGGAAAUAUUAAUGACCACAUAAUAUUAUAUACAUACUUUGAUUAUAGUAUUGCAUUCAAUUUUAUUAAGAGAUAUUUUUCUACCAAAUAUUAUUAAUAUCACAAGUGUGUAAGCAUUUUUGUUUUAAAUUAAAGCAUGCCAUUUUCUUAUACUAAAAAAAUGGAUAUGCUUGAUUUUUACACACAAUUUAAUAAAAAUGCCACAGCAGCAGUUACCAUAUUGAACAUUUAUUAAAAUUUAAGAAGUAAAUGGCUAUUUUCAAUACUAAAUAUAUAUUCUAAUUAUUAUGCCAUGUUUAAAAAUAAAAUUGUAUAAAAUAGCUCUUGUUUUUAAAAAUACAGUACUUAUGGUUUCGUGUAAAAUUAUCUCAAUAAUCGUCAAUAAUUUAAAACCUAAACUUUUAUUAUAAACGUGAUUAGAAGUACAAUAAUCAUACUUUAUAUUAUUAUGUCUUAUUGAAAUGUGUACCUAAUAAAAUUAAAAUAUUAUUCUAAUGUAAUAAAUCAAAUUAAUAUACUAAGAACAAAUUUACAACCAAAAUCAAUUUCUAACAAUUUAUAAAAUCAUUUAAAGGAUAUACUGAAGUUGAAAUAUUUAUGAUUGUUUUUUUUUCAAUUUUGACUGACUUCCAUAAAGUCGUUUGUACAUCAACAUUAGGGUGUUUCAGUUAUUUUUUUUUUUUACAGUAAUUGAUAUCUUUGGGACCCCUUUGAUUAAAAUCAAAAUAUUGUAAUCUAUUGUAAUCAGAAUUUAAAUCUAUUUAAUAUAUUUAUUUAUUUUUUAAUACUUUUGUAUACAAUUUCCAAUAACUACAGUUAUUGACACAGAAUUCAGUUAUUUAUUUCUUAAUUUUUGUUAUUGACAUUCUCUUUAAAUUGUUUAUUUACACUUUAAAAUUAUUUAUUUACAAUCCAUACGGUUGCAUUACUUGGGACCAUGGAUAUACGCCGCUUUUCCUAUUAAUGCACAUGCUUUUUUAAAAUUUGCUAAGUGUUACAAAUUAGAAAAAUAAUACAAUAACAAUUAUUUAAUAAGUAUAAUUAAAAAAUAUGCUAAUUAAUUCAAAAAACGACUGACACACUUCGCACGAUUGGUGGGCCACUGUUGUAGGUGAGAAGUUGAGAAGGUAUCCAGUAGGAUAUAGAAAGGAAAUUUAUGUAUUUAUCUGUAUGCAACGCUUAAAAAUUGCUAAUGAAAAACGAUUUUGAGCUGAAUUCGGUUAUACCUUCCAAGCAUUUCUGUUUGGUCUAAUAAUUUUAUUCACAGAGUACCUACAUACCUACCGAAUAAUAAUUAUGUAAAAAACUCGCAAAAUUAAAAUGUCUAAAAUGUUUUAAAAAUGUUAUUACGUCUACAAAAGGCAAAUAUAGGUUUUUGUUCAAAUUUAAAGUAUCUACAAAUAUUUAAAAUAUUAAAUUUCGUAUAUUUUUUCAUUUUUUCCCAUUUAUUAUGAAAACUUAAAAUUCUUGAUUAACAAGGAAAUUAAAAAAUGAUCUGUAUAAAGUACCACCCAGAUUUUUUCUUUCUAGUACUAAAGUACUAACUACUAAAUUUGAAAACUGGAACAAGAUUUCUAGUAGAGAAGCUGUUCACAGAAAAAAUAAAAAAAUAUUUACACAUAUAUAUAUAUGACAUAUAAUUAUUAAAUGGAAAAAAAAAACUAAGAAAGAAACGAUUAUGGCUCGUACCUAUAGUAAUUAUUAAUAAUAAUACAAUAAUUAAUAUUUGCUACUUAAAUGAUUUUAUUUGUUUUUAGGAAACUGUAACUUUCAUUGAAGAAACUCAACAACUUGAUGAGGAAACACAACUUGAUAAUGACAAUCAACAAAUAAUUACAGAUCAGUUCAAUUUAAAUGAACAUGAAGGAAAGGCACAUCUACUUCUCCAUUCCGAUUUAUUUUUUUGGAAUAUUUAAAGUAUUAUAUUGAUAACAGAGUCUCUGAUUUCAAAUGUUUCAUUCCUUCCUUUAUUGACCAGUAUUUUUUGUUUUUAGAGUCAAAUUGUAUUUUUGUGUUUGGUCAUUUCUGUUUACAACUUCCGGUUUUCAUCAUCGAAAAUAAUAACGUAUCAAUAUAAAACACUACUAGAGUAAGGCAGAUGUAAUACAAGAGCAUGUAAUAUUAAAGUACUGCUCAUACAAUGACAUCUGUAAUAAUAAAGAUUCAGGCUAAAAAAAAUAAUGUAGCUUUGGCCUUUCUAAUUAUUUUUUGGAAUCAUUAAUUUUAAUCAGU
This 4128-nucleotide long non-coding RNA is filed under the name Cinara cedri. Lineage: Eukaryota; Metazoa; Arthropoda; Insecta; Hemiptera; Aphididae. The record is from RNAcentral.